UCCUUCCCCCACCCUCACAACUUUUCUCCCACCAUUAUCACACUCCAUAGAAGCCCUUGAAGCCCCAAGAGAAGUAUCAAAGCAAGGGAGAGCGUGGAAAAACUAGGGCGUAAAGUUAGAGUGAAGGUUGUGCUUCGAGGGAAUUGGUCCGCAGGACGGUGCCACAGCUUAAGAUCACCUCUCUCUUUCACACCGAAGAUCAGGUUAAUGGAGUCGGGCGCAGCGGGGGCUAGGUGGUGGUGGUGGUCUGGAGCUGUCGACAAGGUUUCUCAAUGAUAUUUAUUUCCCAUAACCUCGAUCACCAAACAUUUUAUUUUGUUGGUUAUGCCCUGCGUGGCGAUUAUGAGCUUGUUUACUGCUUUCCCUAAACAACUGAACAAUUGAGUUACUCUUGGG
Molecule: long non-coding RNA, 396 nt
Organism: Salvia miltiorrhiza (redroot sage)
Lineage: Eukaryota; Viridiplantae; Streptophyta; Magnoliopsida; Lamiales; Lamiaceae
Exons: 3
Source: RefSeq, a predicted model, not a curated record